GCCAAAAAUUGAAAGCGAGAAUGACUCUCUAAACUAGACACACAUAUAGAAAAGCUAUUGAAGAAUACAAAGAUAUCAAAAAUGAUUUACUCCAAUGACCCUCCAAAUGGCGAUUUAAAUUGUAGAUUUUAGAAAGGCUCUCAGAAAUACUUUAUAUGGCUGGAUGGUGAGUUAAAGAUGUAGCUAUUAGUAACUCCAAAUCUGCUAAUGGAAUACUGCCUGUUCGCUUGAGUUUAUCUGUUGAAUCUGUCAGUCAUUCAACGUCAUUUUUCUCUCACAAAAAAUUAGCGAACAGUAUUUUCAACUAUGACUUAUCAACCAAACAAAAAUGAUCUUUAGCUACUAAUUUUUAAAAUUAAUGCUAAUGGAUCUAAACAUGAUUUUAAAAUGGAUUGUAUUUUUUUUCCUUUUUUUUAUUUAGAUAGACUCUCCAAUCAGCAUAGUUUAGGAGAAAUGCUAUAGAAAAAUGGCUUCUGGAUUUAGUGUUUAUCCAGAUAAGAUACGCGUGUCAGAUUAUGCCUCCAGGGUUAAAAAUAGGCAGCCAAUUAUCACCAACACCACCUACUAGCGCCUUGGUUAGUUCCAAAAAAUUUUGUAAAAUUUUUCAGAUUCUCCGUCACAUCAAAUCUUUAGACGCAUGCAAGCUUAUUACACAGUUUGUCUGUAAAAACUAAUUGCACAGUUUGGUCGGAAUUGACAAGGCGAAUCUUUUGAGUAUAGUUAGUCCAUAAUUGAAUAAUAUUUGUUAAAUACAAACAAAAAUAGUAUUAUUCCUAGUUUGCAGAAUUUUUUUGAACUAAACAAGGCCUUUAGUUCCCCACCGAAAUCCAAAAUUUUUUCAAGAUUCCCCGUCACAUCGAAUCUUACGGCACAUGCAUGAAGCACUAAAUAUAGAUGAAAACAAAAACUAAUUACACAGUUUGUCUGUAAAUCGUGAGACGAAUCUUUUGAUCCUAGUUAAUCUAUGAUUGAACAAUAUUUACCAUAAACAAACGAAAGUGCUACGUAGCGAAAUCAAAAAAAAAUUCGUAUAAACAAGGCCCUAGCUCGAAACAAUCGAUGGCAUAGCUCCAGGGCUGCUUGAGGUUUUCGAUCCCGGUCCUUGCGACACGUCGUCGCGGCCUCGUGGAGGCCGUGGGAGUGUGGGAC
This 1149-nucleotide long non-coding RNA is filed under the name Sorghum bicolor (sorghum). RNAcentral describes it as "long non-coding RNA (SBIC_LNC013347)". Lineage: Eukaryota; Viridiplantae; Streptophyta; Magnoliopsida; Poales; Poaceae. The record is from RNAcentral.